Etheostoma spectabile (orangethroat darter) is the source of this 287-nucleotide long non-coding RNA. RefSeq lists it as uncharacterized. NCBI's taxonomy places the organism in Eukaryota, Metazoa, Chordata, Actinopteri, Perciformes, Percidae. The record is from RefSeq and is a predicted model, not a curated record. The transcript has 3 exons.
ACUCUGGUCCACUUCUGAUGACAAACUCCCCAACGUGCCCCCCAUACAUCGCUGACUCUGGUCCACUUCUGAUGACAAACUCCCCAACGUGCCCCCCCUACAUCACUGACUCUGGUGCUCUACGCUCACAUGAUGCCACACGGGACUAUACAGCUAAACGUCUGUGAUUUUAUAAAGCACCACACCGUCACAGUUUAGAAAAGAUCUCCUACUUUUUGGGGAACAGCCAUUUAUUUCAAUCGCAGUGAUCUCACAAUGCUCUUAAAAAACUUGGCAACACUUUACUU